This 494-nucleotide ribosomal RNA is filed under the name uncultured bacterium. Its description in RNAcentral is "bacterial SSU rRNA". It matches the Rfam family "Bacterial small subunit ribosomal RNA", at positions 28 to 515 of the family's 1533-position model. The record is from RNAcentral.
GACGAACGCUGGCGGCGUGCCUGACACAUGCAAGUCGGACGGUUCUUGUACCUUCAAGCUUGCUUGUUGGUGCAAGGAUAGUGGCGGACGGGUGAGUAACGCGUGAACAUCUACCCAUUGGAGGGGGACAACCCGUCGAAAGGCGGGCUAAUACCGCGUAAGCCGCGAGGUGAGAGGCUGCCUAUUGGUGGCCGCCGAUGGAUGGGUUCGCGUCCUAUCAGCUGGUUGGUGGGGUAACGGCCUACCAAGGCGAAGACGGGUAGCCGGUCUGAGAGGAUGGCCGGCCACACUGGAACUGAGACACGGUCCAGACUCCUACGGGAGGCAGCAGUGGGGAAUAUUGGACAAUGGAUGGAAAUCUGAUCCAGCCAUGCCGCGUGCAGGAAGACGGCCCUAUGGGUUGUAAACUGCUUUUAUAUGGGAGCAAUAAGGUUUACGCGUAGACCGAUGAGAGUACCAUAUGAAUAAGCAUCGGCUAACUCCGUGCCAGCACG